This 798-nucleotide long non-coding RNA is filed under the name Trifolium pratense (red clover). RNAcentral's name for it is "long non-coding RNA (TPRA_LNC008564)". Lineage: Eukaryota; Viridiplantae; Streptophyta; Magnoliopsida; Fabales; Fabaceae. The record is from RNAcentral.
UAAUGUUAUUAUUUGCACUAGUGUUGUUUCUGACUAUUUUAAUGUGUUGUGGCUGCAGUCUUGGGGGGAUGGUGAGAUCGGUUGGACUAUGCAAUAUUGAUUGUUUCAGACCCUCGGCGACACAUGAUAAAGAUGAUGCACUUACAUGCUGAGGUUGUUUUCUUCUAAUUGAUUAUUUGAUUGGUUUAUGGGAUGUAUCGUUUAUAGGAAUCUGUUCCACUGUCUGAUUUAUUUUCUUAAUAUAUAGAUGGAAAAGUAAUUUAACCAGGUAGAUCAUGAUCAUGUGCUGCUAAAGUUUUCCAUCAAUUUCAUAAUCUAAUCUCUAUGUUUUUAGUAUGAUUCCAUAGACCGGGGUAGUGGAGUCUAUUCUUUGGUUUGAUGUUGUUUGCUAUACAAACAACACUUGUACAAAUAUGUCAACAAUCAUGAAGUAGUAGAUUUACUUCUGCUUCCGUGCAAUGUUACUUUUAAUUUAUUUUUUUUCUGCUCGAAUACUUGAUGAAUUCAGUUGCUUUGAAAUGUUGUUUUCUCUUUUUGCUUCUAUAUAGCGCCGUUCCUAUGAUAUUGUCCUAUGAACAUCAUGUUGAUUUGCUCUACAGAUUUAUGCGGUGAGAUGAUGUGUAAAAUGUUUUUCCACUAAGAGUAUAUAUAUAUAUAUAUAUAUAUAUAUUAAACGCAUAAUACAAAAUGUCUAACAUUGUUGCAUGAGAAGUCAAAAAAACAUUGUUGCAUGAAUAAGUUUGGUUUAAUAUGAGUUUGAUUUUGAUACACUUAAUAUAUACACCAUAAGCAAAUUAG